GCGACUUUACAAUUUGUUAUUGAGAGGAUAGCCUUGAGGAUAGGAGAGAGAAUCAUGAGUCACCUUCCAAACAGGUUUGACCUGGUGUGAGAUACUAGUACAAACAUCUUUUAGAAACUGGUCUAAACUAGCCCAUAAGAAAGAGUGGUAGGCGUGGAUUCAACAAAAUACCCUCACAUGCUAACGAGAAAGUGAGCUGAACUAACAAGAAACUGUGGCUGCAACUGCCUGCGAAACAAAUACCAUGAGGAUUUGCUAUGGAGGCAGCUUUGCCCAAAGAAGAAGAUCAGAGACAGAACUUUGCAGCCAUGCUAUUCAGUAAUGAAGAUGCAAAUUGUUGUUUAAUAUUCAACUGCUGCUUCCUGUGAAGGUCUGAACAAGUGACAGUGGCAAUGUUAGGAUUUCCUCAGAGAUCUUUUCCACUCGGCUUAGCCAGAACACCUCUCCAGUUCUGGGGAUAAUACUUUAUCCAGCUCUCUCGAAUCCAAGAAAUCAGCUCAACUCUGGACUCAUCACUGAUGUUUCAUUAGUGGCAGACAAUCAAACUACACUUGAGUUGAUCAGGCUCAAGUGGAGCAGGUGGGUACAGGGUGUACCCAGGGGUGAAAGUAACUGAAAGGACUUACUGGUACGCCGAAGUCCUGAGUGGAGGUGUGACCUCAACUGGAAGAGGUGGCUGGGGCUGGGAGCCCCAGGGCCUUUAAAUCACCCCAGAGCUACCAACUGCAGAGGCGGCUGGGAGCCCGGGGAAUUUUGGGGAAAAAUAAAGGGCCCGGGGCCCUUUAAAGCGCCUGAGCCCUGCUGCUGGAGCUCUGGCAGUGAUUUAAAGAGCUGGGGCUCCCCGCAGCGGCUGGAGCCCUGGGCCCUUUAAAUCACUGCUGGGGAAGCCAGUCCAGUCUGGCACAGCGUACCAGCUCUUGCCGGUACGCCGUACCAGACCAUUCCAGCUUACUUUCACCUCUGCGUAUACCACACUUUUAAUGUAAAUAAUCAUGAGUUAGCUUAUAUACCAGGGGUCAGCAACCUUUCAGAAGGUGUGCCGAGUCUUCACUUAUUUACUCUAAUUUAAGGGUUCGCGUGCCGGUAAUACAUUUUAAUGUUUUUAGAAGGUCUCGCUCUCUCUAUAGUCUAUAAACUAUUGUUGUAUGUAAAGUAAACAAGUUUUUUAAAAUGUUUAAGAAGUUUCAUUUAAAAUUAAAUUAAAAUGCAGAUCUUA
Molecule: long non-coding RNA, 1216 nt
Organism: Gopherus flavomarginatus (Mexican gopher tortoise)
Lineage: Eukaryota; Metazoa; Chordata; Testudines; Testudinidae
Exons: 3
Source: RefSeq, a predicted model, not a curated record